AAACUUGAGAGUUUGAUCCUGGCUCAGAACGAACGCUGGCGGCAGGCUUAACACAUGCAAGUCGAGCGGGUAGCAAUACCAGCGGCAGACGGGUGAGUAACACGUGGGAACCUUCCUAGAGGUACGGAACAACGCAGGGAAACUUGCGCUAAUACCGUAUGUGCUCUUGCGAGGAAAGAUUUAUCGCCUUUAGACGGGCCCGCGUCGGAUUAGCUAGUUGGUGGGGUAAUGGCCUACCAAGGCAACGAUCCGUAGCUGAUCUGAGAGGAUGAUCAGCCACACUGGAACUGAGACACGGUCCAGACUCCUACGGGAGGCAGCAGUGGGGAAUCUUGGACAAUGGGCGCAAGCCUGAUCCAGCCAUGCCGCGUGAGUGAAG
RNAcentral lists this ribosomal RNA (379 nucleotides) under Pseudomonadota bacterium. RNAcentral's name for it is "bacterial SSU rRNA". It matches the Rfam family "Bacterial small subunit ribosomal RNA", at positions 1 to 410 of the family's 1533-position model. The record is from RNAcentral. Lineage: Bacteria; Pseudomonadati; Pseudomonadota.